GACGAACGCUGGCGGCGUGCUUAACACAUGCAAGUCGAACGGAAAGGCCCUGCUUUUGUGGGGUGCUCGAGUGGCGAACGGGUGAGUAACACGUGAGUAACCUGCCCUUGACUUUGGGAUAACUUCAGGAAACUGGGGCUAAUACCUGAUAGGAGCUCCUGCUGCAUGGUGUGGGUUGGAAAGUUUCGGCGGUUGGGGAUGGACUCGCGGCUUAUCAGCUUGUUGGUGGGGUAGUGGCUUACCAAGGCUUUGACGGGUAGCCGGCCUGAGAGGGUGACCGGCCACAUUGGGACUGAGAUACGGCCCAGACUCCUACGGGAGGCAGCAGUGGGGAAUAUUGCACAAUGGGCGGAAGCCUGAUGCAGCAACGCCGCGUGCGGGAUGACGGCCUUCGUGUUGUAAACCGCUUUCGCCUGUGACGAAGCGUGAGUGACGGUAAUGGGUAAAGAAGCACCGGCUAACUACGUG
Molecule: ribosomal RNA, 468 nt
Filed under: uncultured bacterium
Lineage: Bacteria
Description: partial 16S ribosomal RNA
Rfam family: Bacterial small subunit ribosomal RNA
Source: RNAcentral